Molecule: ribosomal RNA, 460 nt
Filed under: uncultured bacterium
Lineage: Bacteria
Description: partial 16S ribosomal RNA
Rfam family: Bacterial small subunit ribosomal RNA
Source: RNAcentral
CCUACGGGAGGCAGCAGUGAGGAAUAUUGGUCAAUGGGCGGAAGCCUGAACCAGCCAAGUCGCGUGAGGGAUUAAGGCCCUGCGGGUCGUAAACCUCUUUUGCCGGGGAGCAGAGGUCCGGACGUGUCCGGGCCGGGAGAGUACCCGGAGAAAAAGCAUCGGCUAACUCCGUGUCAUCAGCCGCGGUAAUACGGAGGAUGCGAGCGUGAUCCGGAUUUAUUGGGUUUAACGGGUGCGUAGGCGGGCAUUUAAGCCGGCGGUCAAAUGUCGGGGCUCAACCCCGGCCUGCCGUCGGAACUGGGUGCCUUGAGUGGGCGAGAAGUAUGCGGAAUGCGUGGUGUAGCGGUGAAAUGCAUAGAUAUCACGCAGAACCCCGAUUGCGAAGGCAGCAUACCGGCGCCCUACUGACGCUGAGGCACGAAAGUGCGGGUAUCGAACAGGAUUAGAUACCCCUGUAGUC